Molecule: ribosomal RNA, 1325 nt
Filed under: metagenome
Description: bacterial LSU rRNA
Rfam family: Bacterial large subunit ribosomal RNA
Source: RNAcentral
AGUGGAUGGGGAGCGACCUAGUUGUGCGUGUGUAAAGGUAGUGCCAAGAAAAGCGAUGAUCAUGUUGAAAAUCAAUUCCCGGUACCCGAAACCGACACAGGUGGGCAAGUAGAGAAUACUAAGGGGCGCGAGGUAACUCUCUCCAAGGAACUCGGCAAAAUGACCCCGUAACUUAGGGAGAAGGGGUGCCACCGAGAGGUGGUCGCAGUGAAGAGGCCCAGGCGACUGUUUAGCAAAAACAUAGGUCUCUGCAAACUCGAAAGAGGAGGUAUAGGGGCUGACGCCUGCCCAGUGCCGGAAGGUUAAAGAAGUUGGUCAGUUUUAGGAUGAAGCUAGCGACUGAAGCCCCGGUGAACGGCGGCCGUAACUAUAACGGUCCUAAGGUAGCGAAAUUCCUUGUCGGGUAAGUUCCGACCCGCACGAAAGGCGUAACGAUCUGGGCGCUGUCUCGGAGAGAGGCUCGGCGAAAUAGGAUUGUCUGUGAAGAUACGGACUACCUGCAUUUGGACAGAAAGACCCUAUGAAGCUUUACUAUAGCUUGGAAUUGUGUUCGGGCUUCCUGUGCGCAGGAUAGGUGGGAGGCGUAGAAGGUAUUCUUGUGGGGAUACUGGAGCCAACGGUGAGAUACCACUCUCAGGAGGCUAGAAUUCUAACUUAAUUAAGGACAGUUUCAGGUGGGUAGUUUGACUGGGGCGGUCGCCUCCAAAAAGGUAACGGAGGCGUACAAAGGUUCCCUCAGACUGGUUGGAAAUCAGUCGAAGAGUGCAAAGGCAGAAGGGAGCUUGACUGCGAGAAGUACAGUUCGAGCAGGGUGGAAACACGGUCUUAGUGAUCCGACGGUGCUGUGUGGAAGGGCCGUCGCUCAACGGAUAAAAGUUACUCUAGGAUAACAGGCUGAUCUCCCCCAAGAGUUCACAUCGACGGGGAGGUUUGGCACCUCGAUGUCGGCUCAUCGCAACCUGGGGCGGAAGUACGUCCCAAGGGUUGGGCUGUUCGCCCAUUAAAGCGGUACGUGAGCUGGGUUCAGAACGUCGUGAGACAGUUCGGUCCAUAUCCGAUGUAGGCGUGAGAAUAUUGAGAGGAGCCUUCCUUAGUACGAGAGGACCGGGAAGGACGCACCGCUGGUGUACCUGUUAUGAUGCCAAUUGUAAACGCAGGGUAGCCAAGUGCGGAGAGGAUAACCGCUGAAAGCAUCUAAGUGGGAAGCCCACCUCAAGAUGAGUAUUCUGGUGUAAGGUCACGGGAAGACGACCCGUAAAUAGGCACGAGGUGGAAGUGCAGAGAUGUAUGAAGCCGAAGUGUACUAAUAGACCGUCGGCUUGACC